UACGGAAGGCAGCAGUGGGGAAUAUUGCACAAUGGGCGAAAGCCUGAUGCAGCUAUGCCGCGUGUAUGAAGAAGGCCUUAGGGUUGUAAAGUACUUUCAUCGGGGAGGAAAAACAAAACUAAUAAUUUUAUUUCUUGACGUUACCCGAAAAAGAAGCACCGGCUAACUCCGUGCCAGCAGCCGCGGUAAUACGGAGGGUGCUAGCGUUAAUCAGAAUUACUGGGCGUAAAGAGCACGUAGGUGGUUUUUUUAAGUCAGAUGUGAAAUCCCUGGGCUUAACCUGGAACUGCAUUUUGAAACUGAAAUACUAGAGUAUCGUAGAGGGAGGUAGAAUUCUAGGUGUGGCGGUGAAAUGCGUAGAUAUCUGGAGGAAUACCUGUGGCGAAAGCGGCCUCCUAAACGAAUACUGACACUGAGGUGCGAAAGCGUGGGGAGCAAACAGGGAUUAGAUACC
Molecule: ribosomal RNA, 454 nt
Filed under: uncultured bacterium
Lineage: Bacteria
Description: bacterial SSU rRNA
Rfam family: Bacterial small subunit ribosomal RNA
Source: RNAcentral